AUUGAACGCUGGCGGCAGGCCUAACACAUGCAAGUCGAGCGGAUGAAGGGAGCUUGCUCCUGGAUUCAGCGGCGGACGGGUGAGUAAUGCCUAGGAAUCUGCCUGGUAGUGGGGGAUAACGUCCGGAAACGGGCGCUAAUACCGCAUACGUCCUGAGGGAGAAAGUGGGGGAUCUUCGGACCUCACGCUAUCAGAUGAGCCUAGGUCGGAUUAGCUAGUUGGUGGGGUAAAGGCCUACCAAGGCGACGAUCCGUAACUGGUCUGAGAGGAUGAUCAGUCACACUGGAACUGAGACACGGUCCAGACUCCUACGGGAGGCAGCAGUGGGGAAUAUUGGACAAUGGGCGAAAGCCUGAUCCAGCCAUGCCGCGUGUGUGAAGAAGGUCUUCGGAUUGUAAAGCACUUUAAGUUGGGAGGAAGGGCAGUAAGUUAAUACCUUGCUGCUUUGACGUUACUAACAGAAUAAGCACCGGCUAACUCCGUG
RNAcentral lists this ribosomal RNA (484 nucleotides) under uncultured bacterium. RNAcentral's name for it is "partial 16S ribosomal RNA". It matches the Rfam family "Bacterial small subunit ribosomal RNA", at positions 30 to 507 of the family's 1533-position model. The record is from RNAcentral.